RNAcentral lists this ribosomal RNA (872 nucleotides) under uncultured archaeon. Its description in RNAcentral is "bacterial SSU rRNA". It matches the Rfam family "Archaeal small subunit ribosomal RNA", at positions 125 to 995 of the family's 1478-position model. The record is from RNAcentral.
CAUAACCCCGGGAAACUGGGGAUAAUACCGGAUAACGCAUAUGUGCUGGAAUGCUUUAUGCGUAAAACGGAUUCGUCCGCCCAAGGAUGGGUCUGCGGCCUAUCAGGUAGUAGUGGGUGUAAUGUACCUACUAGCCAACAACGGGUACGGGUUGUGAGAGCAAGAGCCCGGAGAUGGAUUCUGAGACAUGAAUCCAGGCCCUACGGGGCGCAGCAGGCGCGAAAACUUUACAAUGCGGGAAACCGUGAUAAGGGAACACCGAGUGCCAGCAUCAUAUGCUGGCUGUCCAGAUGUGUAAAGUACAUCUGUUAGCAAGGGCCGGGCAAGACCGGUGCCAGCCGCCGCGGUAACACCGGCGGCCCGAGUGGUGACCGUUAUUAUUGGGUCUAAAGGGUCCGUAGCCGGUUUGGUCAGUCCUCCGGGAAAUCUGAUAGCUUAACUGUUAGGCUUUCGGGGGAUACUGCCAGGCUUGGAACCGGGAGAGGUAAGAGGUACUACAGGGGUAGGAGUGAAAUCUUGUAAUCCCUGUGAGACCACCUGUGGCGAAGGCGUCUUACCAGAACGGGUUCGACGGUGAGGGACGAAAGCUGGGGGCACGAACCGGAUUAGAUACCCGGGUAGUCCCAGCCGUAAACUAUGCUCGCUAGGUGUCAGGCAUGGCGCGACCGUGUCUGGUGCCGCAGGGAAGCCGUGAAGCGAGCCACCUGGGAAGUACGGCCGCAAGGCUGAAACUUAAAGGAAUUGGCGGGGGAGCACAACAACGGGUGGAGCCUGCGGUUUAAUUGGACUCAACGCCGGACAACUCACCGGGGGACGACAGCAAAAUGUAGGCCAGGCUGAAGACCUUGCCUGAAUCGCUGAGAGAGGUGCAU